Molecule: transfer RNA, 79 nt
Filed under: Porphyromonas macacae
Lineage: Bacteria; Pseudomonadati; Bacteroidota; Bacteroidia; Bacteroidales; Porphyromonadaceae
Description: tRNA-Gly
Rfam family: tRNA (bases 8-65)
About the family: Transfer RNA (tRNA) molecules are approximately 80 nucleotides in length. Their secondary structure includes four short double-helical elements and three loops (D, anti-codon, and T loops). Further hydrogen bonds mediate the characteristic L-shaped molecular structure. tRNAs have two regions of fundamental functional importance: the anti-codon, which is responsible for specific mRNA codon recognition, and the 3' end, to which the tRNAs corresponding amino acid is attached (by aminoacyl-tRNA synthetases). tRNAs cope with the degeneracy of the genetic code in two manners: having more than one tRNA (with a specific anti-codon) for a particular amino acid; and 'wobble' base-pairing, i.e. permitting non-standard base-pairing at the 3rd anti-codon position.
Source: RNAcentral
GCGGAAGUAGCUCAGUUGGUAGAGCACAACCUUGCCAAGGUUGGGGUCGCGGGUUCGAAUCCCGUAGCGAUCUUCGACA